Molecule: ribosomal RNA, 822 nt
Filed under: uncultured archaeon
Lineage: Archaea
Description: bacterial SSU rRNA
Rfam family: Archaeal small subunit ribosomal RNA
Source: RNAcentral
CGUAGCCAAUCUAACCUAUGGACGGGGAUAACCUCGGGAAACUGAGGAUAAACCCCGAUAGAUCAUUAUGCCUGGAAAGGUUUAUGGUCCAAAUGAUUCGUCGCCGUAGGAUGAGACUGCGGCCUAUCAGCUUGUUGGUGAGGUAAUGGCCCACCAAGGCUAUUACAGGUACGGGCUCUGAGAGGAGAAGCCCGGAGAUGGGUACUGAGACACGGACCCAGGCCCUAUGGGGCGCAGCAGGCGAGAAACCUUUGCAAUGUGCGCAAGCACGACAAGGUUAAUCCGAGUGUUUCCUGCUAAAGGAAUCUUUUGUUAGUCCUAAAAACACUAGUGAAUAAGGGGUGGGCAAGUUCUGGUGUCAGCCGCCGCGGUAAAACCAGCACCUCAAGUGGUCAGGAGGAUUAUUGGGCCUAAAGCAUCCGUAGCUUGCUCUGUAAGUUUCCGGUUAAAUCUAUUAGCUCAACUAAUGGGCUGCCGGAAAAACUGCAAAGCUAGGAAGUGGGAGAGGUAGACGGUACUCGGUAGGAAGGGGUAAAAUCCUUUGAUCUAUUGAUGACCACCUGUGGCGAAGGCGGUCUACCAGAACACGUUCGACAGUGAGGGAUGAAAGCUGGGGGAGCAAACCGGAUUAGAUACCCGGGUAGUCCCAGCUGUAAACGAUGCAGACUCGGUGAUGCCCUGGCUUGUGGCCAGUGCAGUGCCGCAGGGAAGCCGUUAAGUUUGCCGCCUGGGAAGUACGUACGCAAGUAUGAAACUUAAAGGAAUUGGCGGGGGAGCACCACAAGGGGUGAAGCCUGCGGUUCAAUUGGAGUCAACGCCGGG